UGGGAAGUAUUGCGCAAUGGGCGAAAGCCUGACGCAGCGACGCCGCGUGAGGGACGAAGGCCUUCGGGUUGUAAACCUCUUCAGUAGGGAAGAAGCCGCAAGGUGACGGUACCUGCAGAAGAAGCGCCGGCUAACUACGUGCCAGCAGCCGCGGUAAUACGUAGGGCGCAAGCGUUAUCCGGAAUUAUUGGGCGUAAAGAGCUCGUAGGCGGUUUGUCGCGUCUGCCGUGAAAGUCCGGGGCUCAACUCCGGAUCUGCGGUGGGUACGGGCAGACUAGAGUGAUGUAGGGGAGACUGGAAUUCCUGGUGUAGCGGUGAAAUGCGCAGAUAUCAGGAGGAACACCGAUGGCGAAGGCAGGUCUCUGGGCAUUAACUGACGCUGAGGAGCGAAAGCAUGGGGAGCGAACAGGAUUAGAUACCC
This 421-nucleotide ribosomal RNA is filed under the name uncultured bacterium. Its description in RNAcentral is "bacterial SSU rRNA". It matches the Rfam family "Bacterial small subunit ribosomal RNA", at positions 355 to 787 of the family's 1533-position model. The record is from RNAcentral.